UACAUGGGGUGCAAACGUUGUUCGGAAUUAUUGGGCGUAAAGCGCGCGUAGGCGGUUAUCUAAGUCGGAUGUGAAAGCCCUCGGCUUAACUGAGGAAGUGCAUCCGAAACUGGAUAGCUAGAGUACGAAAGAGGGUCGCGGAAUUCCCGGUGUAGAGGUGAAAUUCGUAGAUAUCGGGAGGAACACCGGUGGCGAAGGCGGCGACCUGGGUCGAGACUGACGCUGAGGCGCGAAAGCGUGGGGAGCAAACAGG
This 253-nucleotide ribosomal RNA is filed under the name uncultured bacterium. RNAcentral's name for it is "partial 16S ribosomal RNA". It matches the Rfam family "Bacterial small subunit ribosomal RNA", at positions 524 to 776 of the family's 1533-position model. The record is from RNAcentral.